RNAcentral lists this ribosomal RNA (1373 nucleotides) under uncultured bacterium. Its description in RNAcentral is "bacterial SSU rRNA". It matches the Rfam family "Bacterial small subunit ribosomal RNA", at positions 13 to 1381 of the family's 1533-position model. The record is from RNAcentral.
UUGAUCCUGGCUCACGUUGAACGCUAGCUACAGGCUUAACACAUGCAAGUCGAGGGGCAGCAUGGUCUUAGCUUGCUAAGGCCGAUGGCGACCGGCGCACGGGUGAGUAACACGUAUCCAACCUGCCGUCUACUCUUGGACAGCCUUCUGAAAGGAAGAUUAAUACAAGAUGGCAUCAUGAGUCCGCAUGUUCACAUGAUUAAAGGUAUUCCGGUAGACGAUGGGGAUGCGUUCCAUUAGAUAGUAGGCGGGGUAACGGCCCACCUAGUCUUCGAUGGAUAGGGGUUCUGAGAGGAAGGUCCCCCACAUUGGAACUGAGACACGGUCCAAACUCCUACGGGAGGCAGCAGUGAGGAAUAUUGGUCAAUGGGCGAGAGCCUGAACCAGCCAAGUAGCGUGAAGGAUGACUGCCCUAUGGGUUGUAAACUUCUUUUAUAAAGGAAUAAAGUCGGGUAUGGAUACCCGUUUGCAUGUACUUUAUGAAUAAGGAUCGGCUAACUCCGUGCCAGCAGCCGCGGUAAUACGGAGGAUCCGAGCGUUAUCCGGAUUUAUUGGGUUUAAAGGGAGCGUAGAUGGAUGUUUAAGUCAGUUGUGAAAGUUUGCGGCUCAACCGUAAAAUUGCAGUUGAUACUGGAUAUCUUGAGUGCAGUUGAGGCAGGCGGAAUUCGUGGUGUAGCGGUGAAAUGCUUAGAUAUCACGAAGAACUCCGAUUGCGAAGGCAGCCUGCUAAGCUGCAACUGACAUUGAGGCUCGAAAGUGUGGGUAUCAAACAGGAUUAGAUACCCUGGUAGUCCACACGGUAAACGAUGAAUACUCGCUGUUUGCGAUAUACAGCAAGCGGCCAAGCGAAAGCGUUAAGUAUUCCACCUGGGGAGUACGCCGGCAACGGUGAAACUCAAAGGAAUUGACGGGGGCCCGCACAAGCGGAGGAACAUGUGGUUUAAUUCGAUGAUACGCGAGGAACCUUACCCGGGCUUAAAUUGCAGAUGAAUUACGGUGAAAGCCGUAAGCCGCAAGGCAUCUGUGAAGGUGCUGCAUGGUUGUCGUCAGCUCGUGCCGUGAGGUGUCGGCUUAAGUGCCAUAACGAGCGCAACCCUUGUUGUCAGUUACUAACAGGUUCCGCUGAGGACUCUGACAAGACUGCCAUCGUAAGAUGUGAGGAAGGUGGGGAUGACGUCAAAUCAGCACGGCCCUUACGUCCGGGGCUACACACGUGUUACAAUGGGGGGUACAGAGGGCCGCUACCACGCGAGUGGAUGCCAAUCCCCAAAACCUCUCUCAGUUCGGACUGGAGUCUGCAACCCGACUCCACGAAGCUGGAUUCGCUAGUAAUCGCGCAUCAGCCACGGCGCGGUGAAUACGUUCCCGGGCCU